CCCCGCGCAUAUCCGGGUUAUGAUAUGCACCUCCCUGUUGGACUUGGCCGGGCUUCGCGCCCGGCCUUUUUU
Molecule: non-coding RNA, 72 nt
Filed under: Parasedimentitalea marina
Lineage: Bacteria; Pseudomonadati; Pseudomonadota; Alphaproteobacteria; Rhodobacterales; Paracoccaceae
Also listed under: 1 other name
Description: Singlet oxygen resistance RNA X
Rfam family: Singlet oxygen resistance RNA X
About the family: SorX (RSs2461)like SorY is a singlet oxygen induced sRNA that counteracts oxidative stress by targeting mRNA for a transporter in Rhodobacter.
Source: RNAcentral